CAGCAAGAACAAGACGAACAAAGAAGGAGAAAAUACCUAAUAAUUGUUAACAGUUAUUAUUAUUUUCUUUCUUUCUUUUGUUCUCUACAUUUUCAGUCACAGAAGUAAAAUGGCAGGAAAGAUAAAUGUUGCAAUUCUGUUGAUGUGCUUUAUAGUUCUUGUUGUGGCAGUGCAGCUCAUCCAAGCUCAUGGUGAUGAAGGUACCGACGUUUACAAAGUAUGCUUCAUGAAGUGCUUUGAUUUUUGGAAGGCAACAGGCCUUGCCAACACACACUGUGAAAUCAAAUGCGACCAACUGUGCAGUCAUGUUGAAAAAUACGGCAAAUACGUGGAAAACUUCCCCAAUUUGAAGCCUUAAUUUGUGAUCAAGAAAUAAUUCUGCGCCAUUUGACCAAUCUAAAGAAUAAUCCUAAAUUGUACUGUAAUAAAUGUAGUAUGAAUUAUUCUUUUAUCUUAUCAUUCAUAAUUAUCUUCCUGUUGUGAUAUUAUAAACGAUUAUAUGAAUAUAUUUUAAUUUAUAUAUUCGUUCUUAAGUA
Papaver somniferum (opium poppy) is the source of this 536-nucleotide long non-coding RNA. RefSeq lists it as uncharacterized. The transcript has 2 exons. NCBI's taxonomy places the organism in Eukaryota, Viridiplantae, Streptophyta, Magnoliopsida, Ranunculales, Papaveraceae. The record is from RefSeq and is a predicted model, not a curated record.